Molecule: long non-coding RNA, 2359 nt
Organism: Cottoperca gobio
Lineage: Eukaryota; Metazoa; Chordata; Actinopteri; Perciformes; Bovichtidae
Source: Ensembl
UUAACUCCUUUAUAUCAUAUUCAGAAGUUAAUUCAAGUCUAGACCUGUUUUGUGCCAGCCAACAAUAUUAGGCAAUUUAGACAUUGAAUAAUUGUCUAUAAAAAUUCAGUCAAAGUUGUGCCAAUGCUAAGCAACAGCACGUUUCAGCUUCUCUGUCAGCUGCUGACUUGCACAUAAACAUGCACGCAAAACCGAAGAGCCUUUUUCAUUUUGUAGUAUGUUUACUAGUUUAAUUAAGACACCAUUUCAGUCCAAUAAGCAAUAAUUAAAUGUAUUAACAUCCUUUAUCCCUAUCUGCCCUCACACCAUUUACUCCAGUCCCUUUUUUUUCUCUGUGCCAACUGCUCCGGCUUUACAAAUAUGAUAAGACCAAAGCUGCAAGAACUCUUCCAGCACUUUGGUAAUGGUUAACCAGAUAAUUUAUUUAGGGGUGGGAGUAGACAACAGUCAGAAGUUACUCUUCUUUUCUGUGCUUGCCUGCAAAUGAGUUGAAUUCAUUCAUAGCAGGACUCAGAAUGGAGGAGACGUUGCAACAAGAGAAACAAGAGUUGGAAUAUAAACAUUUGAAUGAGGAACAAGGUAACUUUUGACAUUUACUUCUCUUCUUCUGAAGUACUUCAGUAUUUCCACACUAGAAAGUUGAGUAAGUUAUUCAUUUGCAUACAGUGUGGUGUCUUUCGGUGAACUCAGACAGAGACUUUAACAGCUGAGCUGCUGUUACAACAAAUGAGAGACAUGUUUAGUUUUUCUGUCAGCAAACCACAUCUUUAUAUACGCCAUCAGUCAACCACAUUUGCUGGUCAUGCGUAAAAAAACACUGCUCUGUAUGUCUUUGAUCUCGUACUCUCAUUGUUAGCAUGGUUUCUCUGUUUUAUAGGUGGGAUCCGUCGCCGAUUGCGGGACAGGGAUCUUCUGAGGAAGAGAAAAGCUGAAGCAGAAGCGAAGGAGACUAACGAGAUGGAGAGCCAGAGGAAAAGACCCAGGGCUGAGAGUGGCACAAAGAGGAGAGGGAGGCCCAAGAAGAGCGAGCCGGAGAAAUCUGUCACUCAGGAGGAGGAGGAGGCAGGACCUCGGGAUGCUCCUGCAGUAGCGGAGGUGCCUGUACCUGCUGAGGCUAUCCCAGAUCAAACACCAUCUGUACUUGAUGUGGAAUCAAAACCUUCAUCUGCCCUUGCUUCCCCUGCUGCUCUGCCAGUGUUUGGAUCUAUCCAAAAGCCCAUCUUUGUUCCUACUCUGACUCCUCCGGCUCCAGUUAUCCCGACUCCAGCCCUUUUUUCACCCACAGCUCCAUCCCCCAACAAAGUCCUCGAUACGGCUCCAAUCCCUGUCCAAGAUUCGGCUCCAGCUCUAGAAGAUGUUCCAUUCCCAGUCCCAGUCCUAAUCCAAGCCCCUUUUUCAGUUUCAGCUGCUGCCCCUCCCGCAGCCCCUCCCCAGGUGGAGACCCUCUUCACAGAGUCACAAGGCAAGGAGGGCCAUGAGCAGGUCUGGAUUGAGGACUUGGGCCCAGAGGAGGAGGCAGACAGCUCUCCAUCUCCAAACAAAAGAGCUGAUGACGAUUUGAUUGAGACACCGUCGAUUGACGUACCUGAACAAAACGAAAUGUUCUCAAUUCCAACCUUGUCCUCGACACCUCCUCCACAAAAAUAUUUCUCAGGGAAUUCAUUCUAAUUCUUUCACUUUUCAGACGCUGCCUCGGCUCAGAACGUAUCUGAGGAUUAUUUUGGUUAGUGUGCAGCCUGUUGGUGAAAGAGUACAAACAUAUUGAGCAUUGCUUAUUUGACAAAUGUAUGAAUUUAAACCAAACCUGUAUGCUUAUUUAUUCUGGUUUUUACUUUAUGAAGCUCACAAAUUGUAUUUUGUAUUUUGCAUUUAAACAGCUAUUUUUGCCUGAUUGUAUUUCAAAGCAUUGGUAUAAAUCACUGGUUAUGAUGUAUUUUGGAUUUACAUGAUAGCAUUUUGUAAAAGUUGUUUUCCACCUAAUAAAUUACACUGCUUACAAUCAUCUGACUGUGGUCAUUAUUAUUAUUAUUAUUAUUAUUAUUAUUAUUAUUAUUAUUAUUAUUAUUAUUAUUAUUAUUAUUAUUAUUAUUAUGUGAUAAAUAAAAGACCAAAAUUAACUAUCCUACAAAAUGGGUGAAGACAGAAAUACUGGUGUCUCUUAUGAGACUGUCAUACAUUUAUAUAUAUAUAUAUAUAUAUAUAUAUAUAUAUAUAUAUUUUUUUUUUUUUUUUUUUUUUUUUCCGAGGAUUCUGCUUUUGUAACAUCCAAUAUAUUCCUUUUCACUUAGAUGGAGAAAUUAAUUCCAAAUUUUACUCCGAUAAAAUACAAAUACUAACAAUACUCAAACUGAUGAAUGUA